GACGAACGCUGGCGGCGUGCUUAACACAUGCAAGUCGAACGGAAAGGCCCUGCUUUGGGGGGGAGCUGGAGGGGCGAACGGGGGAGUAACACGUGGGUAACCAGUCCUUGACCGUGGGGGAACUUAAGGAAACUGGGGGUAAUACGGGCUAGGAGUUCCUGCUGCAUGGUGGGGGUGGGAAAGUUUCGGCGGUUGGGGGUGGACUCGCGGCUUAUCAGCUUGUUGGUGGGGUAGUGGCUUACCAAGGCUUUGACGGGUAGCCGGCCUGAGAGGGUGACCAGCCACAUUGGGACUGAGAUACGGCCCAGACUCCUACGGGUGGCAGCAGUGGGGAAUAUUGCAAAAUGGGCGGAAGCCUGAUGCAGCAACGCCGCGUGCGGGAUGACGGCCUUCGGGUUGUAGUCCUCAUUCGCUUGUGACGAAGCGUGAAUGACGGUAAUGGGUAGAAAAGCCCCGGCUUACUACGUG
RNAcentral lists this ribosomal RNA (468 nucleotides) under uncultured bacterium. Its description in RNAcentral is "partial 16S ribosomal RNA". It matches the Rfam family "Bacterial small subunit ribosomal RNA", at positions 28 to 507 of the family's 1533-position model. The record is from RNAcentral.